This 2296-nucleotide long non-coding RNA is filed under the name Sus scrofa (pig). RNAcentral describes it as "lncRNA (ENSSSCG00060047415.1)". Lineage: Eukaryota; Metazoa; Chordata; Mammalia; Artiodactyla; Suidae. The record is from RNAcentral.
UUCCCCCAAACUUCCGUUUCUCCCCUGCAUUCAUCUCCAGGUUGUCUGCCUUUGACCUUUUCUCUUCAGAUUCAUUUCUGCAUCAGUGAAAAUUGUAUUCAAAUGAACUCAUUUUUAGCAGGGAAUGAGCUCGAUUUAUUAAGGAAAUGAGAAAACUCUUGCCAUGAAAAUGAGCUUUUGGAUUAUACAUCCCACAAAUUGAUAAAAGUAAUGUGGAAUUAACUCAACAUUAAAGGUAUCAGAAAUGUAUCUGUUAUUGAGAAAACUUUUCCAGAUUAAAGGAGGCAAAAGAGAUGUGACAGCUGAAUGUGGUGUGUGAGCCUGGAUUUAUUUAGGUCCUUAGUAGGGACAGUGGUGAAAUCUGAAUAAAUUCUGCAGCUUAGUCAAUAACUUCAUGUCAAUGUUAAUUUCCUGGUUUUUGAAAAUGGCACUUUGGUUAUGGAAGAGAAUGUUUUUGCUUAUUUUAAGGAAACCCAUUGAAGUAUUUAAGAAUAAAGGGAUAUUGCAAAAUAUCUCAAACAGUUCAGAAAAAGAGAAAACGAAUGUGGCAUUUUGACAUUUGGGGGAAUUUUGGAGAAGGCUAGAAGGAUAUUAUUUGUGUAGUGCUGGAAUUUUCCUACAAGUCUGCAUUGUGUCAAGAUAAGUUAUUAAACAGAUACCUUUUGUUGACCUCUUUCUCAUGAAAAAAAAAAAAAAAAGAUGUGGUUUUAGUCAUCCUACGUACCUCUGUGAGACUCAAAUUUCUGUAUGAGAUGCUGGCAUUCCUCUAGAAUCGUGUCUUCCAGGACCCUCUUGCUCAUCCCUAAGUUCUGUAAGGUGGUCAAGCUGAAUCUCCUCAUAAUUUUCUAAGUGUCACCAUGAGAGAAGACAAUUCUUUACAAUGAGGAAAGUGUUUUAAAAUUACUUUCUCAAAGUGGUUAAAAUCUAGUUUGUGAGGACACAUAAACACAAAGAGGCUGAAUUCCCUCUGUUGAAAGUAGGUCUCAGGAGUUCCCAUUGUGGCUUAGUGGUAACAAACCUGACUAGGAUCCACGAGGAUGUGGGUUUGAUCCCUGGCCUUGCUCAGUGGGUUAAGGAUCCAGUGUUGCCAUGAGCUGUGGUGUGGGUCACAGAUGUGGCUCCGAUCCUGUGUGGCUGUGCCUGUGGCUGUGGCCGGUGGCUGUCGCUUCCAUUUGACCCCUAGCCUGGGAACUUCUAUGUACUGAAGGAGCAGCCAUUUAAAAAGGAAAAGAAAAGAAAAGAAAUCUAGGUAGGUAGGUCUUUUGUCCUAGGUUUUAGGACCUAAGAGGGUCUUUCUCAGGGACCUGGGUGCCAUCUCUGGAAUAUAAACCUCAAGGGAGAGACUUCCAGUUUCUGUGGAGCAAUGGGAACCUUACUUCGGGGAGUUGCCUGGCUCCAAGUUGCAAAACUACCUCCUGUUCUAAAGAUGGGAGAAAUUUAAUUUUCCUUUACAUAGAGACAACUAAUACAGAGGUAACCGAUUACCAAAUAAACCUAAGAAGAACUAUGUGUGAUGUUAACAGCAAGACAACAGAGACAGAGCUUCCUUGCCUGCCCGCUUGCAAGUGUCCUAUCCUAAUAAAUCUAUUUCUUGCCUAUCAAACAAACAAAAAACAAGACAACAGACCCCAAAGGAUUAUGUUAAGCCCCAAGUCACUAACCUGAGCGUUAACUUUAUUACAGUCUGGGCUCUCCCAGAACUGGAAUCUUAAAACCAGUUAAUCAGGAAUCACCUGAUCAGCAGUUAGGUAAUCUGUUUGAUAGACCCAUGCCUGCCAUCCGCUAAAGGAAAGUGUCUUUAAAAUUACUAGUAUAACUUCCUUGUUCCCUCUCCCUUCGGACUAUAAAAGUCUUUCACUUUGCACAACUCCUUGGAGCUCCUUUCUAGCUGCUAAAAUGGAUGCUGCCUGAUUUAAAUUGAUUUUUGCUCAAAUAAACUCAAGAUUUUUAAUAUGCCUCUGUUUAUCUUUUAACAGUGUCAGACGAUACUGUCAAAUCCUGUUACUUGAGGACUAGUUAUUGUUUAUCUUAGCAUAUUUGUAAUGAAUUGUAUCUGUUUGAUUACAUAAAACAGUGAGGAGUACUGUAAGCAGAGUUCCGGUGAUGGCUCAGUGGAAACAAAUCUGACUAGCAUCCAUGAAGAUGCAGGUUUGAUCCCUUGCCUUUCUCAGUGGGUUAAGGAUCUGGUAUUGUCAUGAGCUGUGGUUUAGGUCACAGACACGGCUUGGAUCUGGCAUUGCUGUGGCUGUGGUAUAGGCCAGCAGCUGCAGCUCUGAUUCUACCCCUAGCCUGGGAA